RNAcentral lists this ribosomal RNA (718 nucleotides) under uncultured bacterium. RNAcentral describes it as "bacterial SSU rRNA". It matches the Rfam family "Bacterial small subunit ribosomal RNA", at positions 46 to 762 of the family's 1533-position model. The record is from RNAcentral.
GGCUUAAACAUGCAAGUCGAACGGGAUCCCACGGCACUUGUGUUGUGGGUGAGAGUGGCGAACGGGUGAGUAAUGCGUGACUAACCUGCCCUGCACUUUGGGAUAGCUCCUGGAAACGGGUGGUAAUACUGAAUGUUCCACAUGACCGCAUGGUGGUGUGGGAAAGUGUUUGAGUGGUGUGGGAUGGGGUCGCGUCCUAUCAUGCUUGACGGUGGGGUGAUGGCCUACCGUGGCUUCGACGGGUAGCCGGCCUGAGAGGGUGACCGGCCACAUUGGGACUGAGAUACGGCCCAGACUCCUACGGGAGGCAGCAGUGGGGAAUAUUGCACAAUGGAGGGAACUCUGAUGCAGCGACGUCGCGUGCGGGAUGACGGCCUUCGGGUUGUAAACCGCUUUUAUUCAGGAGCAAGCCGGCUUUUGGUUGGUGAGUGUACUGGAUGAAUAAGCGCCGGCUAACUACGUGCCAGCAGCCGCGGUAAUACGUAGGGCGCAAGCGUUAUCCGGAUUUAUUGGGCGUAAAGGGCUCGUAGGCGGUUCGUCGCGUCUGGUGUGAAAGCUCACUGCUUAACGGUGGGUUUGCGCCGGGUACGGGCGGGCUAGAGUGCAGUAGGGGAGAUUGGAAUUCCCGGUGUAACGGUGGAAUGUGUAGAUAUCGGGAAGAACACCGAUGGCGAAGGCAGGUCUCUGGGCUGUUACUGACGCUGAGGAGCGAAAGCGU